Molecule: unclassified non-coding RNA, 88 nt
Filed under: Pseudomonas putida
Lineage: Bacteria; Pseudomonadati; Pseudomonadota; Gammaproteobacteria; Pseudomonadales; Pseudomonadaceae
Source: RNAcentral
UGUAGGAGCGGGUUUACCCGCGAAGGCGUCGGUCCUGGCAAUCGAGGUUGUCGCUGCCGACGCAUUCGCGGGUGAACCCGCUCCUACA